UGGGGAAUCUUGGACAAUGGGGGCAACCCUGAUCCAGCGACGCCGCGUGGGUGACGAAGGCCUUAGGGUCGUAAAGCUCUUUCGCCAGGGAUGAUAAUGACAGUACCUGGUAAAGAAACCCCGGCUAACUCCGUGCCAGCAGCCGCGGUAAUACAGAGGGGGCAAGCGUUGUCCGGACUUACUGGGCGUAAAGCGCACGCAGGUGGUAACGCAAGUGGGGUGUGAAAGCCGCCAGCUCAACUGGCGGAGGCCAUCCCAAACUGCGUCACUUGAGGCCUGUAGAGGUAUGUGGAAUUGCCGGUGUAGUGGUGAAAUGCGUAGAGAUCGGCAGGAACACCCAGGGGGAAACCAGCAUACUGGACAGGUCCUGACACUCAGGUGCGACAGCGUGGGGAGCGAACCGGAUUAGAUACCCGUGUAGUCC
This 424-nucleotide ribosomal RNA is filed under the name uncultured prokaryote. RNAcentral describes it as "bacterial SSU rRNA". It matches the Rfam family "Bacterial small subunit ribosomal RNA", at positions 355 to 796 of the family's 1533-position model. The record is from RNAcentral.